This 301-nucleotide ribosomal RNA is filed under the name uncultured bacterium. Its description in RNAcentral is "partial 16S ribosomal RNA". It matches the Rfam family "Bacterial small subunit ribosomal RNA", at positions 509 to 807 of the family's 1533-position model. The record is from RNAcentral.
CAGCAGCCGCGGGAAUACGAAGGGGGCUAACGUUGUUCGGAUUUACUGGGCGUAAAGCGCACGUAGGCGGAUCGAUCAGUCAGGGGUGAAAUCCCAGAGCUCAACUCUGGAACUGCCUUUGAUACUGUCGAUCUGGAGUAUGGAAGAGGUGAGUGGAAUUCCGAGUGUAGAGGUGAAAUUCGUAGAUAUUCGGAGGAACACCAGUGGCGAAGGCGGCAACCUGGCUCAUUACUGACGCUGAGGCGCGAAAGCGUGGGGAGCAAACAGGAUUAGAUACCCCAGUAGUCCCUGUCUCUUAUAC